RNAcentral lists this ribosomal RNA (292 nucleotides) under uncultured bacterium. RNAcentral describes it as "partial 16S ribosomal RNA". The record is from RNAcentral.
GGACUACUAGGGUUUCUAAUCCUGUUCGCUACCCACGCUUUCGCUUCUCAGCGUCAGUUACUGCCCAGAGACCCGCCUUCGCCACCGGUGUUCCUCCUGAUAUCUGCGCAUUUCACCGCUACACCAGGAAUUCCAGUCUCCCCUGCAGUACUCUAGUCUGCCCGUAUCGACUGCAAGCCCACGGUUGAGCCGUGAGUUUUCACAAUCGACGCGACAGACCGCCUACAAGCUCUUUACGCCCAGUAAUUCCGGACAACGCUCGCACCCUACGUAUUACCGCGGCGGCUGGCAC